Tachyglossus aculeatus (Australian echidna) is the source of this 138-nucleotide small nucleolar RNA. The record is from RefSeq and is a predicted model, not a curated record. NCBI's taxonomy places the organism in Eukaryota, Metazoa, Chordata, Mammalia, Monotremata, Tachyglossidae.
CUCCUCUUAGGAUGGCAUCUGGAGAGUUUCCAGUACUCUGCCAGUCUUGGCUACGGGAGGGAGAGUCAAACAGAGGCAUACCCAGUCCAUUCCUAGCUUGGGCAGUGGCUGGCGAGGGGAAGGCAAUCUGCUGCAAGU